UGGGGAAUAUUGGACAAUGGGCGAAAGCCUGAUCCAGCCAUGCCGCGUGUGUGAAGAAGGUCUUCGGAUUGUAAAGCACUUUAAGUUGGGAGGAAGGGCAGUAAGCGAAUACCUUGCUGUUUUGACGUUACCGACAGAAUAAGCACCGGCUAACUCUGUGCCAGCAGCCGCGGUAAUACAGAGGGUGCGAGCGUUAAUCGGAUUUACUGGGCGUAAAGCGUGCGUAGGCGGCUAAUUGAGUCGGAUGUGAAAUCCCCGAGCUUAACUUGGGAAUUGCAUUCGAUACUGGUUAGCUAGAGUGUGGGAGAGGAUGGUAGAAUUCCAGGUGUAGCGGUGAAAUGCGUAGAGAUCUGGAGGAAUACCGAUGGCGAAGGCAGCCAUCUGGCCUGACACUGACGCUGAGGUACGAAAGCAUGGGGAGCAAACAGG
Molecule: ribosomal RNA, 429 nt
Filed under: Pseudomonadota bacterium
Lineage: Bacteria; Pseudomonadati; Pseudomonadota
Description: Proteobacteria bacterium partial 16S ribosomal RNA
Rfam family: Bacterial small subunit ribosomal RNA
Source: RNAcentral